Molecule: ribosomal RNA, 439 nt
Filed under: uncultured Pseudoalteromonas sp.
Lineage: Bacteria; Pseudomonadati; Pseudomonadota; Gammaproteobacteria; Alteromonadales; Pseudoalteromonadaceae
Description: bacterial SSU rRNA
Rfam family: Bacterial small subunit ribosomal RNA
Source: RNAcentral
UGGGAUUAGCUAGUUGGUGAGGUAAUGGCUCACCAAGGCGACGAUCCCUAGCUGGUUUGAGAGGAUGAUCAGCCACACUGGGACUGAGACACGGCCCAGACUCCUACGGGAGGCAGCAGUGGGGAAUAUUGCACAAUGGGCGCAAGCCUGAUGCAGCCAUGCCGCGUGUGUGAAGAAGGCCUUCGGGUUGUAAAGCACUUUCAGUCAGGAGGAAAGGUUAGUAGUUAAUACCUGCUAGCUGUGACGUUACUGACAGAAGAAGCACCGGCUAACUCCGUGCCAGCAGCCGCGGUAAUACGGAGGGUGCGAGCGUUAAUCGGAAUUACUGGGCGUAAAGCGUACGCAGGCGGUUUGUUAAGCGAGAUGUGAAAGCCCCGGGCUCAACCUGGGAACUGCAUUUCGAACUGGCAAACUAGAGUGUGAUAGAGGGUGGUAGAAU